GAGGGCUACAGAGAAGUGUUGAUGGUUAGAAAGGAGGUGCCAACCGUGUGUUUGUAUUGGGGGAGGGGGUGGAAGUAUAAUUUGGAGGGUGGAUGGAUGGAUGGAGGGAGGGAGGGAGGGAUGUUAGUAUUGCUUAUACCGAUUUCUUGUCUCAACUAUGUCAAUAUUUGCUAUCCAACAUGACCACUUGAUGUAGACAAGAAACUGCCUUUCUGGAACUGGAUGAAGAAGGUAAUACAUGGGAUUGAGAAAACCUAGGUGUUUCAUUAAAAUAUACUGCAUUUGUAUAUAUAUACAGGGGUUUAGGUCUAUUCUACUCUACCUAAUAUAUAUAUAUAUACACACCUAUAAUAUACAUAUACCUAUAAUAUAUAUAUACACACACACACACACACAUAUA
This 400-nucleotide long non-coding RNA is filed under the name Phoenix dactylifera (date palm). RNAcentral describes it as "long non-coding RNA (PDAC_LNC017566)". Lineage: Eukaryota; Viridiplantae; Streptophyta; Magnoliopsida; Arecales; Arecaceae. The record is from RNAcentral.